Molecule: long non-coding RNA, 336 nt
Filed under: Mytilus galloprovincialis (Mediterranean mussel)
Lineage: Eukaryota; Metazoa; Mollusca; Bivalvia; Mytilida; Mytilidae
Source: RNAcentral
UCUUUGUGUAAUCAUACGUUUUUUGAUUGAGUUAAGUCUGCUAAUUGAUAUUUUAUCGUAUGUUUUUAUAUGUUGUGAUGUUAUGCUAUUGUUUCAGAAAUAGGGAGAAGGUUUGGGCCCAUUAAAACGUUUAAUCCCGCUGCAAAUGUUUGCACCUGUCCUAAGUCAGGAAUCUGAUGUACAGUAGUUGUCGUUUGUUUAUGUAACAUAUACGUGCUUCUCGUUUCUCGUUUUGUUUAUAUAGAUUAGACCGUUGGUUUUCCCGUUUGAAUGGUUUUACACUAGUAAUUUUGGGGCCCUUUAUAGCUUGUUGUUCGGUGUGAGCCAAGGCUCCGU